RNAcentral lists this ribosomal RNA (654 nucleotides) under Bacillus tequilensis. RNAcentral's name for it is "bacterial SSU rRNA". It matches the Rfam family "Bacterial small subunit ribosomal RNA", at positions 79 to 717 of the family's 1533-position model. Lineage: Bacteria; Bacillati; Bacillota; Bacilli; Caryophanales; Bacillaceae. The record is from RNAcentral.
UUGCUCCCUGAUGUUAGCGGCGGACGGGUGAGUAACACGUGGGUAACCUGCCUGUAAGACUGGGAUAACUCCGGGAAACCGGGGCUAAUACCGGAUGGUUGUUUGAACCGCAUGGUUCAAACAUAAAAGGUGGCUUCGGCUACCACUUACAGAUGGACCCGCGGCGCAUUAGCUAGUUGGUGAGGUAAUGGCUCACCAAGGCAACGAUGCGUAGCCGACCUGAGAGGGUGAUCGGCCACACUGGGACUGAGACACGGCCCAGACUCCUACGGGAGGCAGCAGUAGGGAAUCUUCCGCAAUGGACGAAAGUCUGACGGAGCAACGCCGCGUGAGUGAUGAAGGUUUUCGGAUCGUAAAGCUCUGUUGUUAGGGAAGAACAAGUACCGUUCGAAUAGGGCGGUACCUUGACGGUACCUAACCAGAAAGCCACGGCUAACUACGUGCCAGCAGCCGCGGUAAUACGUAGGUGGCAAGCGUUGUCCGGAAUUAUUGGGCGUAAAGGGCUCGCAGGCGGUUUCUUAAGUCUGAUGUGAAAGCCCCCGGCUCAACCGGGGAGGGUCAUUGGAAACUGGGGAACUUGAGUGCAGAAGAGGAGAGUGGAAUUCCACGUGUAGCGGGUGAAAUGCGUAGAGAUGNGGAGGAACACCACUGGCG